GGGCCCGCACAAGCGGUGGAGCAUGUGGUUUAAUUCGAUGCAACGCGAAGAACCUUACCAGGGUUUGCAUGCCACUAUUUAACUAGGUACUUGUGAAAGCAGGUUUUGGUGCACAAGUGGUGCAUGGCUGUCGUCAGCUCGUGUCGUGAGAUGUUGGGUUAAGUCCCGCAACGAGCGCAACCCUUAUAUCUUGUUGUGAUUCCAGAUCAAGAAAACUGCCGGUGACAAACCGGAGGAAGGUGAGGAUGACGUCAAGUCAACAUGCCCUUUAUACUCUGGGCGACACACGUGCUACAAUGGUUAGGACAAAUCGUUACUACUUUGAAAAAAGACGUAAA
This 338-nucleotide ribosomal RNA is filed under the name uncultured bacterium. RNAcentral describes it as "bacterial SSU rRNA". It matches the Rfam family "Bacterial small subunit ribosomal RNA", at positions 917 to 1271 of the family's 1533-position model. The record is from RNAcentral.